Gallus gallus (chicken) is the source of this 6672-nucleotide long non-coding RNA. RefSeq lists it as uncharacterized. Lineage: Eukaryota; Metazoa; Chordata; Aves; Galliformes; Phasianidae. The record is from RefSeq and is a predicted model, not a curated record. The transcript is spliced from 5 exons.
ACGUUAACAAUGCAGAGAAACUACAACUACAGUUCCUCCCAGAGAGCAAAAUAUGUCAGCGCCCCUAAAAAGGGCAGAAUUGUUCUAGAAUGGGCUGCAGAGGGAUAAAGCCUUACAGGGCUAAGGGGAACGGACAUGAGCGCUCCCCGACCAGGGAGGUGAAGCAAGGCAGAAAAAGCUGGGAACUGAGACAAACCUGCCAUGAGACCAGCGCUUGUCCAGCCAGGAGGUGAAGCAGCAUCACUAUGCGGCUACAGAAAGGAACAAGAGCAGAGCAUAACAGGGGGAAGACCGGGAGGCAAACGGGACAAAGAUGAGAAUGUGCAGAGGGAGGCACACACUGAGUGCAGGGGACAGCAACGGGGGCUGCACCUUCCAGAGCUCAGAGCUGUGGGUAUGGGACAACUCACAGCAAACCAGCGGGGCCAGAGGGGUCAGGAAGUGUAAUGGAGGAAGAUGUGAGGUGACAGAUGUGGCCGUGCGGGGCCCUCGGGGGAGGCACGGGGAGGUGAGGGGAGCUCCUGGCAACUCUGCUGUGGGGGUCAACAUCACGCACCAAAGGGAGGGUCUGACAUCUGACUGGAGUGGCUGCAGGAAAACGCUAUGGGAGCAGCUACCACUUUUGUGUAGAAGUCACUGGAGUACAGAACCACGUUGGCAACCUGCUCCACUGAAGUGAGGAAGGGAAAGAGGGACUAUCAGUUGUGCACAGGCAUCGGAAACAACACAGCUGCUCCACAGUCUCAGGAGUGGAAAACAUGAGGAGAACAGCAGGAAAACCCAUACGUUGAGAGCCUGAAGGGAGCACCAGGUCAGGCAGCCUGAUCACAGACUUUGCCACCUGUGUGUUAGUCUCUGUCUUCCCUGAAACGCAUCCAGCUUUGGUUUGGAGAUGACAGAAAGCCCAUGGUAUCCCUUAGGAGCCUGCUCUUCUCAUUACAAGGAUCUCCCUCUCUAAACAUGCCUGCUUUCACCUCUGGUGCACAAGAGGUGCUAUUUACAGCACCAUCAAGCAGACUGGAUACCAAACUGCAGCCAAGUUCCUCUGACAGCAUUCUCCAAACGAACACUAGAAAGCAUGUGGUGAUUUUGAUUCAAGAGAGAAUCUGAAAUAAGGUCUUUUUAAGCUACACUGAAGAAUGUCAGGUUAAAAAAUAUUCGGGAGUAACUAGAUAGUGCAUGCAAGAUAGGCACUGAAUUGGCUUUCUCCGCUGUAGAGUUUUAUGAAACCCUCAGCAACUUUGUUCCUUCCCUGCUUUCUUUUCUCUUUCUCAUCCUUUGUCUUAGACUGCCUUCCACAGGCCCAAGCAGAACGGAGCUUGUGGGAUGAAAACACGCAGUGCUACAAAUAAAACACAGGCAGUGCCGAACCUCAGGCUCUGCCCUCAGCUCCCUCUCGAGGAACCACACCAUCGCUGGCAGAGUGGCUGUUUCUCACAGUGCAGGGCAUUUCUGAAGCCCCAGGUGAAGCACCACCUCUGCACAUUCCCUGUUAGCUGAGCAUUGCGCUGACAGAAGCCCUUCCCACUGGGCUCCCAAGAGGCAGACUGGGGGAAGACCUGCUUUGCCUGCCACAGUGCCAGGCCUUUCCUGUGUAGACACGACAAACUGGGGCCUGAAAUUGAGCCAGGCAAAUAACCACGAGUCAGGAAAAAAGGCGCAGUGUUUUACCUAAUGAAUAGCAGCAAACAAACAGCAACAGAUGGGGGGGAGGGACGAAUUCCUGAUGCACUCCAUACUGCCUGCUUAGGCAGUCUACAAGCACUAAAUUCUGGCUCUUCCAGCCCACCAUGGCCUUCUUGUCCUAAGAGAAUCCAAGCAAUGGUAAAAAAACAUACCCUGAACUUUGAUCUUCUUCACUGUUUUCUCUGUGCUGUUGGUGACCAUGACAGUGACUGGAAUGGGCUCACCAUGGUAAUACACCUAGGGGGAAACCGAUGCUCAGAAACACAGUCAGAAGGCUUCUCCCAGGUCAUAAACCACUCCAAUCCCCACAGAGGCCAGAUAAAGCAAGGUGACCCUUCCCCAUGACUCACAAUCCUGCCUCCAAUGCCCUACUUGCCCUCAAAUGACUCUGAUAACGGUGUCCCACCCUCCUCUAGCAGAAGCUACUGACAAAAAUCACAUUAGAACCCAAGCAUGCAGACCAAGUCUGGAUCAGGUGAGACAGAGCCUGGUAACACACCAAAUAGCUGUUUGGGUAACAAAACACAUAUUGGUAUUGAAGUGCAACGAUGCCCACAUCCCAGGGGCAAACUGCUCACCUCUUUACUGAGGCAAGCUUUCAGGUGCAAUGGCUUGUUGGACAUGAAGAACUGCCACGUGGUCUCUGCGCAAGGUUGGGGUCCUGGUUCUUCUGGAGCAAACUGCACUUUACGGAUCAACAGCCGCGCGGAGUUCCUGGGAAGCAGCAGAAGACACCAGGGUGGUACCUCAUGUUUGGCUGAGGCAAGAGAUUUGCACUCACACAGGCUUAAUUAAACUCAAGAAGUCCACUGACAAGUGGAACAAAGGUGAAUAAGCAACCACGGUGCAUUAUUGUAAUUCCCCCCUUCUUUAUAAGGGCGCAGCAGAAGACAUACAGAAAUACACGUACUGUUACCUCUUAUGAAUUCUCUCUUCCAAAUUCUCUGUUGAAAAAGCUUUCACCUCGAAGUCCACCCCACAGCUCUGCCAGAGAGAGAGGGCAGCUGUGAGGCCAGCGUCACAAGCCACACCUGUAGAUGUUCAAGCAUCUUGCUGUAUCCUAGGAACUGGCAGAUCCCUGCCAACGGCAAAUCCUUCUGGCCUAUGACCACUGUGACAGAGAUCCCUGCCACCUGGUGUAUCAGCAUCCACCUGCUCCAUGCUACAAGGCUUAGCUCCCAGCCUCUGACAGAUGGCAUCCCUUCUCCUGAAAGGAUGUGAGAGCAGAGCUGUGGAGGUCACAGCACACUGCAGGAGGCACCACCAGCAGGCCUGCAAGGUUCUCCAGUCCACCUUGAGUUUCUGAAACAGCUUCGUCAUGCCAAUACCUGACUCGUGGUCAAGCUCCUUUCUUCCCAGUGUCUAAGGACUGAGAGAGAUCAGUCCUUUGCUUUAGGUCCAAGGUCCAAGCAGACCUUUGCUCUAACAGGUUUGUAUUGGUAUACCUGGCUUUAGGCCUAGCCCAGCUGUUCAGAGAAGCAUCCUGUGAAGGACAGGAGGACUGCUUUAAAUGAUGCCAGAAACCCAACAGAACAUCUCACUGUUUGGUGAUACAUCCUCUAGAGGGUUUUUUUUAUACACACAUACAAAACAGACCUUCUCUGCAUUUGUUUUAACCCAGAAGCAGGUCUAACACCUGUUAAUUACACCCACCAGUGAGAUUCCAGACACUCAGCCUCCCCUCUCUCACAUGACUGAUAGCUAACACAAGCUUGCUAGGAUCACUUCGCAUGUCCAACCCACAAAUCAUGCAGUACCCUUAAGGAAAUGGCAAGCACUGCAGAUUUAGCACAGCCUUGCAGCUACUGGACUAGAUUUUAUUUCUUAUUUUGAGGAAUUGACUUCCAGCUGUAGCUCUUACAGUCAGCUUCCUGACAUUUGUGGCACAACAAAGGUAAACUCCAUGAUAAGCACCAGUGUACCAGUCUCACCUUAUCAACAUCACGAGGUGAAGGCUGCAAACAGACCGAACAAGGCAGGUAAUCUGGGAACUGUGGGAACAAAAAGGAAAAGAACCCAGAGCAAUAUUAUGCAGAUUUCUGUGAUAUUCUAUUUAACUUACUGCUCACAAAAGGUACAACAUAGCCCUGAAGACAACAGGUCACUUACAUACAGCAACCCUUUGAAGUUCCAACUCAGAGGCAAGCUGGGUCUUAUGCUUACCGUUCAUGAACAAAGCCUUUUAGGAAGAAAGGGAUUUAGAAUAUUAACAACCAAGAGAACACAGAAAAAAUGUAAAUAGAGGCCCGGAAACAUAGAGCUCCUGGGCUUAUAAUCAAAUACUAGAGCACUGGAGACACAGAUUAGAAGCUGGGAUAUCUGGUUCCCAUCCAGAAUCAUCAACAUGGCUCACAGUAGUGCCAGUCACUGUUCACACGGGCUUGAAGCUCAAGCAAGGCAUCUCUGUCAUGGAAACACAGCUAAGGCUAUUAAACCAGCCAGCCUCCACGCAGUGUCCAUUUGCUCCUGGUCUGCAAAGGGCCAGCAGCUUCACCAAUUGAAAAGGCUGCAGAGCCUCCUGGAGACGGAGCACCAACACCCCAUCAGUGAAUCCAGCAACCGGGACCACUGGAUUGUACCUGAGGAGUCAAUGACAUCCAGCAGGCACCCACCCACUGAGCAGAAUCAAAGAGGGGUACGUGUAAUGACAGAUGAGGAGAGGGUCAGGGGCUCUUAAGAGAUACUCACUGUAAAGUAAAAGGGGUAAGCAUUUUUCCCCAGCUUCUUUAGCAGAGAUUCCUGCAAGUGGGAGAGAGAUUCUGGCCUGUUCUCAGGUGGGUACACCUGGACUCUAGAGAAGAACAGGUCUCUCCGGAAGGUGAGGCCAAUCACAUCAAUGUCCUCCUGGCCAUACCGGAAAGCACAGGUCAGAGUCACGUACACUGGAAGGAAACACAGGUAGGUAAGGCACGCAGCAGACUAACACAGCCAGGUGAUGUAAAAUCCUGCACCAGUCAUGGAAACUCAUUUCAACACUGUCGUAUAACCCAGCUGGUAUUCAUACAUUAAGUUUUUAUAUACGUUACUUUGAGUAAGAAGUCCAUUCACUGAGGAGUCACAUUUGUGCCCCUGAAGCAAUGUAAAGUUUUAUCCCAGUAUCUCACUUGAAAAGAGGACAAGCAAACUAAAAUCUGUAUUGCAUAAAGCCUCAAACCUUUUUUCCCCUUGAUCAUUGCAGGAUCCACCAAGACAACACCAUCUGAAAGAAAGGAAAAUAAAAAAGAUUACCAGAGGAUAAUCAGGCUUAGGAAAGCAGGAAGGGCAGCGUGCACACUUAUGGACUUACCUACAGGCUCUACACUCCCUAUGUUGUCAAUGAAGUCACGCUUUCCCAGGUAGAUGGUCAGCUGUAGGGAAAAGAUGACCACGGUUGAACUACAAAGUGUUGGUGGUUGUGUGCCUGGGGGGUGGGAGGAUGUAGUACAGAGCUGCAAAUUCCAUAGAGAACAGAGCAAUCCCAUUUUAAGCAUGGGUUUUUUUUCUCCCCACCAAACAAUCCACACCAGGCUCAGAAGGACUAUCCAUGUGCUUUGGGAUAAGAGAAGAGAGGACCUAAUGUGGAACAGCUCCAAGAAGUAGGACACAAGUACUCACAGAUGGGACAGAACUAUGGAUCUAAAUAUUUCUGAUGCCAUCAGAUUCACUAUCAAACAGUGAAUCAGCUUUGUUCCAAGCAUUUACCAGCAGGGCUACAACCUGGAAGAAUGAGAGGGGAGUUGCCUUUUAUGCAAGACUGCGACAAGCUGUCCCAUAUGAGCUUUGUUUACAUUGUCUGCUCACACUUCGCACUAAAUAUGGAUCACAGUCCUUCUUCAGAAAAAUGAAAGAGGACAGGAAAGAGAUAACUUGUUUUGGAGAGGAAUCAGCAUUCUUCCCUGUCUUCUGAGACUCGGGGCAGCUCAUGGCCAAUGGACAGGUUUGGGAUUUAUUUUUCACCAUUGCAAGUAUGCACGAGAGCUCUUUCAUCUGUCAUGGAACAUCUGCCAUUGAACACAGUCUUGGUUGUCCUGGAACACCUGCCAUUGAGCACAGUCUUGGGUGAACGCAAAGAAGCCUAGCUGUUCCAGGAGAAGAAAGUUUCUACAACCUAUUUGCACACAGCAGGCUGAAGGAAGAGGAAACGCUUUCCUUAAGGCAGAGGUUACAGACAGACACACGGUUAAGAAUUUCUACUUCACGAAAUAUAAGUAGGUUUGCCAAGUCCAGAACAGUAGCUGUGGUUGAGCAGUCACCUUACUCACUCCGUAGACCAUAAGAAGAAACCGGCAAAUAACAUUAAAUACCUUUCUGGGUUCCGAACGGCACAGGAGCUACCGCAGGGCAAAGGCAUGAACUCCUAAGAAGAAGAAAGAUGCAUUUUCCAUGCAGCCAUGUCCUGUGCGCCUUCCCAUCAACCUGAGAACCAUGAACCUCCGAGCAAGGGAGGAAGACAAUUUGUAGAAGAUUUUAAAGCGCGUCUCUGGUUGCGUCCAUCCGGGAUUCCGACAAUUAAUCCCCCUCCAGGAGCAAACGUUGUACUUGGGCUGAGAUUCAACCGGAAAGUGGUUAUGUCAGCAAGAAAAGCAUUACCUAAGGAAGACCAGGUCCUCGAUGAACAGGUCUACAAUGUCAUCCUCGUAUGCUUUACAAAGGCAACAGACUUACAUAGAACAGGAUGGUUACUAAAGGAGCUUUAUUCUAAAGCUCUUCUUCUCUCUUCUCCUUCCCAGGGCUUCAAGCAUCCAGCCUGAUAAGAAGCUAAACAUAGAAGAGCUGUUUAUGAAAAAGAGAGUAUACAAAGCAAGUCUCUAUAAACAGAUGCCAUUAUAAAGGACUGCCAGACAUUUAGAGCUACCAGCCACUAAGCUUUGUAUGUGUUAUUGCUCCAUCAGUACCUUGUUGGCUUGCUGCUUAGAAGCAAUGCACUGUUAGCUAGCACACCUCCCAUCCCCAGUGUACUUACAAAAAGAGUAAAGCACAACAUUUAAUAAAACACUUGAACAGAGA